AGUUGCCCUUUAAUUGGGGGCUGGAAUGAAGGAUUGGACAAAAGACAAGCUGUCUUUUUUAUAAAAAUGUGAAUUUUACUUUUAAGUGAAAAGGCUUAAAUAAUUUAAGGGGACGAUAAGACCCUUUAAAGCUUAACGAGAUUGUUAUGAUUUGUGAGGUAGGGUGUUAAAGGUAUUGUUUAAUUUUUUGUUUCAUUGGGGCGAUGAAGAUAGAAUAAAUAACUGUCAAAGAUAUAAGAUAACUAUAAUUAGAGACGGGUGAUCCUUAAGUUUUAAAGAUUGAGAGAAAAAGUUACUUAAGGGAUAACAGCGUGAUUUUUUUAGAGAGUUCUUAUCGAAGAAAGUAGUUGCGACCUCGAUGUUGAAUUAAGAUUUUAUUAAAAUGCAGGUUUUUUGAUAAUAAGUCUGUUCGACUUUUAAUAUCUUA
RNAcentral lists this ribosomal RNA (427 nucleotides) under Pasiphaea alcocki. Its description in RNAcentral is "partial 16S ribosomal RNA". It matches the Rfam family "Bacterial large subunit ribosomal RNA", at positions 1967 to 2598 of the family's 2925-position model. Lineage: Eukaryota; Metazoa; Arthropoda; Malacostraca; Decapoda; Pasiphaeidae. The record is from RNAcentral.